This is a long non-coding RNA of Mercurialis annua (annual mercury), 727 nucleotides long. RefSeq lists it as uncharacterized. The record is from RefSeq and is a predicted model, not a curated record. Lineage: Eukaryota; Viridiplantae; Streptophyta; Magnoliopsida; Malpighiales; Euphorbiaceae. The transcript has 2 exons.
UCUAAAAAGGUAAAAUAUGUUAAAACUCAAAACUCUCUUAUUAUCGGCUGUACUAUUAAAGUAGCAAGUAUUUGAGAUAACUCUCAACCGUUGAUCCUGCUGUCUGAUAUAAUCCUCUCAAUCAUUGCUUAAUCGCCACGUGUCAAACAUAUCCAAUUCAAACCGGCUUUUACCGGUUACUAUUUUAUAAUCUCGAAACUGAGCUUGGGACUCAAUCACGCGCGUUAACACUUUUCUAUUCCUCAGUCGCUCUCCUUAUCCCUAUCUGAAAGUAUUUGUCCGAUUAUUUCACUCUCAUUUUAAUCAGUUGACUGUUAAACUAGAGCUAUGACUGCAGAACAGGAUCCGAAUGCUUCGGUGUUCAACGAUGCUGUAAUGAAAGAGUUGAUGAAUAAGGAAAUUAGAUCCGGCAACUCUCCGGCAAAGGCGGCGGCAGCUGAAUACCGGAUUAAGGCAGUGAGUGUUCCUGCUUCACCUAGACGCAUUCGCCAAAUUCAUCAGCCUCGUUGAAAUAUUUAGAUCUGCAAAUUGAUUGAGACACAACUCCAGACUUUUGUUUGUUUCCAGUUUAUCUGUUUGUACUUGUACAUAUAGCUCGUGAACUGUGUGUUUGUGGUAUUUGAUUUAAGGUUGUGAUUGUCAGGAUGUGAUAUGUGUUGGAAAAAUGUUUUGCAACUGCAAAAGCAAAAUUCAUAGCAGAUCUACUUCUUGUCCGACCAUUUGGUUA